AUUGAACGCUGGCGGAAUGCUUUACACAUGCAAGUCGAACGGCAGCACGGGGGCAGCCCUGGUGGCGAGUGGCGAACGGGUGAGUAAUACAUCGGAACGUGCCCGGUCGUGGGGGAUAACGUAGCGAAAGUUACGCUAAUACCGCAUACGAUCUGAGGAUGAAAGCGGGGGACCUUCGGGCCUCGCGCGAUCGGAGCGGCCGAUGUCAGAUUAGGUAGUUGGUGGGGUAAAGGCCUACCAAGCCGACGAUCUGUAGCUGGUCUGAGAGGACGACCAGCACACUGGGACUGAGACACGGCCCAGACUCCUACGGGAGGCAGCAGUGGGGAAUUUUGGACAAUGGGCGCAAGCCUGAUCCAGCCAUUCCGCGUGCAGGACGAAGGCCUUCGGGUUGUAAACUGCUUUUGUACGGAACGAAAAGGCUCUGGCUAAUACCUGGGGCUCAUGACGGUACCGUAAGAAUAAGCACCGGCUAACUACGUG
RNAcentral lists this ribosomal RNA (483 nucleotides) under uncultured bacterium. Its description in RNAcentral is "partial 16S ribosomal RNA". It matches the Rfam family "Bacterial small subunit ribosomal RNA", at positions 30 to 507 of the family's 1533-position model. The record is from RNAcentral.